RNAcentral lists this ribosomal RNA (440 nucleotides) under uncultured bacterium. RNAcentral describes it as "bacterial SSU rRNA". It matches the Rfam family "Bacterial small subunit ribosomal RNA", at positions 338 to 795 of the family's 1533-position model. The record is from RNAcentral.
CCUANGGGGGGCUGCAGUGAGGAAUAUUGCACAAUGGGCGAAAGCCUGAUGCAGCAAUGCCGCGUGGAGGAAGACAGCCCUCGGGUUGUAAACUCCUUUUAUCUAGGAAGAUUAUGACGGUACUAGAGGAAUAAGAGCCUGCUAACUACGUGCCAGCAGCAGCGGUAAUACGUAGGGCUCGAGCGUUAUCCGGAUUUAUUGGGCGUAAAGAGUUCGUAGGCGGAUAGGUCAGUCAGACAUUAAAGAUCUUGGCUUAACCAAGGGAAAGUGUUUGAUACUGCCUGUCUUGAGUAUGGCAGAGGCAGAUGGAAUUCUCGGUGUAGGGGUAAUAUCCGUAGAUAUCGAGAAGAACACCAAAGGCGAAGGCAGUCUGCUGGGCCAUUUCUGACGCUGAGGAACGAAAGCGUGGGGAGCGAACGGGAUUAGAUACCCCGNUANUC